UACGUAGGGUGCAAGCGUUGUCCGGAUUUACUGGGCGUAAAGAGCGCGCAGGCGGUCAGAUAAGUCGAAUGUGAAAGCCCCCGGCUCAACUGGGGAGGGUCAUUCGAUACUGUUCGACUCGAAGGCAGGAGAGGGAAGUGGAAUUCCCGGUGUAGUGGUGAAAUGCGGAGAGAUGGGGGAGAACACUCGUGGCGAAGGCGGCCAGCUAGACCAGUUCUGACACUGAGGCGCGACAGCGUGGGGAGCAAACAGG
This 253-nucleotide ribosomal RNA is filed under the name uncultured bacterium. RNAcentral describes it as "partial 16S ribosomal RNA". It matches the Rfam family "Bacterial small subunit ribosomal RNA", at positions 524 to 776 of the family's 1533-position model. The record is from RNAcentral.